GUGGGGAUGGUCUCCCUUUCUGACUCGUGAUGUGGCCUACGUGCCGA
RNAcentral lists this small nucleolar RNA (47 nucleotides) under Pyrobaculum calidifontis JCM 11548. RNAcentral's name for it is "PCAsR57b". Lineage: Archaea; Thermoproteati; Thermoproteota; Thermoprotei; Thermoproteales; Thermoproteaceae. The record is from RNAcentral.